AUGUGAUCGUCUCUCGCAUAUCAAUAAGCGGAGGAAAAGAAACUAACAAGGAUUCCCCUAGUAACGGCGAGUGAAGCGGGAAGAGCUCAAAUUUGAAAUCUUAAAGGGUUUCCCUUUACGAAUUGUGGUUUAAAGAAGUGUUUUCUGUUGAGGUUUUGGUAAAAGUUCUUUGGAAUAGGACAUCAUAGAGGGUGAGAAUCCCGUAUUUGACCUUUACUUUCAACUUUGUGAUACACUUUCAAAGAGUCGGAUUGUUUGGGAAUGCAGUCCAAAAUGGGUGGUAAAUUUCAUCUAAAGCUAAAUAUUGGCGAGAGACCGAUAGCGAACAAGUACCGUGAGGGAAAGAUGAAAAGAACUUUGAAAAGAGAGUUAAACAGUACGUGAAAUUGUCAAAAGGGAAGCGUUUGACACCAGUGUUGUUUUUCUGAAAAUCAAUUAAAGAACUGUUUAUGCUAAGUUGUUUAGACUUUAUCAGCUAAUCUGUUUAGUUUUGAGCUUUUCUUUAAUGCACUUUUCAGUUAACAAGUCAACAUCAAUUUCUUUUGCUGUAAAAAAGCUUGAGGAAGGUGGCUUGAGAUUCGUCUUAAGUGUUUAUAGCCUCUUGCCUAUGCAGUCGGAGAGAUUGAGGUCUGCAGCGUAGAUCCUUCGGGGCUAAAUGCAUUUGUGCUAAGUUAUAGCAUUUUCAUAGACAACUUGUUGACUAUGAUUUGUCUUGUAGCUUACUCGCUUAUGUUAUUUUACCUACGCUUAGGAUGUUGACUGAUAUGUAGUCGUA
This 775-nucleotide ribosomal RNA is filed under the name uncultured Neocallimastigales. Its description in RNAcentral is "partial large subunit ribosomal RNA". It matches the Rfam family "Eukaryotic large subunit ribosomal RNA", at positions 24 to 644 of the family's 3401-position model. The record is from RNAcentral. Lineage: Eukaryota; Fungi; Neocallimastigomycota; Neocallimastigomycetes; Neocallimastigales.